Molecule: ribosomal RNA, 465 nt
Filed under: Vreelandella stevensii
Lineage: Bacteria; Pseudomonadati; Pseudomonadota; Gammaproteobacteria; Oceanospirillales; Halomonadaceae
Description: partial 16S ribosomal RNA
Rfam family: Bacterial small subunit ribosomal RNA
Source: RNAcentral
CCUACGGGGGGCUGCAGUGGGGAAUAUUGGACAAUGGGGGGAACCCUGAUCCAGCCAUGCCGCGUGUGUGAAGAAGGCCCUCGGGUUGUAAAGCACUUUCAGUGAGGAAGAACGCCUGGUGGUUAAUACCCAUCAGGAAAGACAUCACUCACAGAAGAAGCACCGGCUAACUCCGUGCCAGCAGCCGCGGUAAUACGGAGGGUGCGAGCGUUAAUCGGAAUUACUGGGCGUAAAGCGCGCGUAGGUGGCUUGAUAAGCCGGUUGUGAAAGCCCCGGGCUCAACCUGGGAACGGCAUCCGGAACUGUCAAGCUAGAGUGCAGGAGAGGAAGGUAGAAUUCCCGGUGUAGAGGUGAAAUGCGUAGAGAUCGGGAGGAAUACCAGUGGCGAAGGCGGCCUUCUGGACUGACACUGACACUGAGGUGCGAAAGCGUGGGUAGCAAACAGGAUUAGAUACCCGGGUAGUC